RNAcentral lists this long non-coding RNA (310 nucleotides) under Ricinus communis (castor bean). RNAcentral describes it as "long non-coding RNA (RCOM_LNC000870)". Lineage: Eukaryota; Viridiplantae; Streptophyta; Magnoliopsida; Malpighiales; Euphorbiaceae. The record is from RNAcentral.
CCUAUGACUGCCAGGAGAAGACAUUGAUUAGCCACUGUGACCAUCUUGAACACCAUCAGUGUGAUCAUGAUGAUCAUGACCAUACUCAUCAUGAUGACCAUGGUAACCAGUCUCACCACCAUAACAACCAUCAUGACCACUCUCCCCUUCAUGAACCCUGUGACCACCAUCAUCAUGAUCAUACUCAUCAUGAUGACCAUGGUAACCAGUCUCACCACCAUCACAACCAUCAUGACCACUCUCCCCUUCAUGAACCCUGUGACCACCAUCAUCAUGAUCAUGACCAUGGAAAUUUCCUUCAAUCCCAUAC